UCAUCAAAGUGAGCCAACAUAUCAACAUCCAUCGUGAAGUUUAAGAUACCUUGAGCAGAAUGGACAGUGUAAUUCAGCUUAAAAGGAACCAUAUUGACGCCUUUUGAUUUAAGCUUUUGAACAACCUAAAAUCCACAUUGUAUCCUACGGUCAGCUUUGUUAUGUCAACUGAAAAAGGAUCAGAAAAGGGGAUAUCCCUGGAUGAAUGAUCAUGUGGAUCCUUGCCUCGGAUUAUAUCCAAAACAAUUGCACAAUCUGUAGCACUUCUGCAGAAAGGUCCUAGUUUAUCCUGCAAAUACACAGUAUUUACAUUCACCACCAGUAAUAACUGUAUACAAAUAGAGCAGAGAAUUCGGUCUCUACCAGACUCUCUGAUAAGCUUAGAACACCCGUUCUUCCAAUAGUUCCAAAAGUAGGACGAAAUGCUGUCACGCCACAUCGAGCAGCAGGGUAAGUGAUGGAUCCAGCCGUUUCUGAACCAAUAGCAAAGGGAACCAUGCCUGCAGUAAACAAAUUUUCAGUUACUGUAUUUUUCCUUUCUAUGUUUCAAGAUUUAAACAACAAGGAACAAUUUAUGUUAAGAUAUACCAGCUGAGGUGCAGGCAGCUGGUCCAGCCGACGAACCAGUUGAAUAUUCCUCAAUGUUCCAAGGAUUCCUCGUUCUACCCCCAAACCAGAUGUCGUCAUAUGCCAGUGACCCUGUCACAAGUUUUGCAAGAAGAACUGCCCCGGCAGAUUUCAGCCUGAAAUGAUUAUCAAUGUUUAUUGUGAAAGGUCAAAGCCACUGGUUCUUAUUUGUUUUACAUUGAGCUAAGAAGUUACUCGAAUACCUCUUAUACACCCAAGCUUCAAUAUCAAGAACUUGAUUUUUAAACGUUCUAGAACCCCAAGUCGUCUUGUAAUGGGGCACUGCAAUUAUAUCCUUCAAACCGUAUGGAAUCCCGUGAAGCGGGCCUAAAUAAAAGCCAUAAGAAAUAGUAUCUUUCAAGUCUUCUAUUGAAAGAUUUGUGCAAUUCACAGAGAAAAACCAAAAGGUUUCAGAAA
Salvia miltiorrhiza (redroot sage) is the source of this 1044-nucleotide long non-coding RNA. RefSeq lists it as uncharacterized. The record is from RefSeq and is a predicted model, not a curated record. Lineage: Eukaryota; Viridiplantae; Streptophyta; Magnoliopsida; Lamiales; Lamiaceae. The transcript is spliced from 2 exons.